Phaseolus vulgaris (common bean) is the source of this 307-nucleotide non-coding RNA. NCBI's taxonomy places the organism in Eukaryota, Viridiplantae, Streptophyta, Magnoliopsida, Fabales, Fabaceae. The record is from Rfam.
GCCGAGCUAAGUAACUAGAGCUUGUAACCCAAAUGGGGGCAUGAAGGUGAUAGAACAGUUCUUUGACUCCCUGGUUGAAGUUGUGACUGCUCUAAGUUGGCUUGCCCAUUCCGAGUUGAGAGUUGAGUGUUGUAGGGACUUGUGCGAAGGCAUAGGUCUCAUCACUCUUAGAUAAGAGGGCACUGCGUGAGGCUGGUUUCACAGAGCAGCGAUUACCUAUACCUCCCAACGAUGGAGGGAUAACAAGCUGCUGCAACCACACUCCAGGAUGACCUGGUCAGGCUCAGUUUCUUGGAUCUUCACCUUU